UACGGGGGGAGCAAGCGUUGUUCGGAUUUACUGGGCGUAAAGGGCGCGUAGGCGGUCAGCACAAGUCAGUUGUGAAAUCUCCGAGCUUAACUCGGAAAGGUCAACUGAUACUGUGCGACUAGAGUGCAGAAGGGGCAACUGGAAUUCUCGGUGUAGCGGUGAAAUGCGUAGAUAUCGUCAGGAACGCCAAUGGUGAAGACAGGUGACUGGGCCGGUUCUGACACUGAGGCACGAAAGCGUGGGGAGCGAACGGG
This 254-nucleotide ribosomal RNA is filed under the name uncultured bacterium. Its description in RNAcentral is "partial 16S ribosomal RNA". It matches the Rfam family "Bacterial small subunit ribosomal RNA", at positions 524 to 776 of the family's 1533-position model. The record is from RNAcentral.